RNAcentral lists this ribosomal RNA (301 nucleotides) under uncultured bacterium. RNAcentral describes it as "partial 16S ribosomal RNA". It matches the Rfam family "Bacterial small subunit ribosomal RNA", at positions 509 to 809 of the family's 1533-position model. The record is from RNAcentral.
CAGCCGCCACGGGAAUACGUAGGUGGCAAGCGUUGUCCGGGAUUAUUGGGCGUAAAGCGCGCGCAGGCGGAUAGGUCAGUCUGUCUUAAAAGUUCGGGGCUUAACCCCGUGAUGGGAUGGAAACUGCCAAUCUAGAGUAUCGGAGAGGAAAGUGGAAUUCCUAGUGUAGCGGUGAAAUGCGUAGAUAUUAGGAAGAACACCAGUGGCGAAGGCGACUUUCUGGGCGAAAACUGACGCUGAGGCGCGAAAGCCAGGGGAGCGAACGGGAUUAGAUACCCGCGUAGUCCCUGUCUCUUAUACA